AAUGAACGCUGGCGGUAUGCUUAACACAUGCAAGUCGAACGAACAAGGCUGGAGCUUGCUUCAGCUGCGUUAGUGGCAAACGGGUGAGUAACACGUGGGAAUCUACCCAUCAGUACGGAAUAACGUUUGGAAACAAAUGCUAAUACCGUAUAUUCUCUACGGAGGACAGAUUUAUCGCUGAUGGAUGAGCCCGCGCAAGAUUAGGUAGUUGGUAGGGUAAUGGCCUACCAAGCCGACGAUCUUUAGCUGGUCUGAGAGGAUGAU
This 264-nucleotide ribosomal RNA is filed under the name uncultured bacterium. RNAcentral's name for it is "partial 16S ribosomal RNA". It matches the Rfam family "Bacterial small subunit ribosomal RNA", at positions 29 to 304 of the family's 1533-position model. The record is from RNAcentral.